GCGAUCAUACCAGCACUAAUGCACCGGAUCCCAUCAGAACUCCGAAGUUAAGCGUGCUUGGGCGAGAGCAGUACUAGGAUGGGUGACCCCAUGGGAAGUCCUCGUGUUGCACCU
RNAcentral lists this ribosomal RNA (114 nucleotides) under Zingiber officinale. Lineage: Eukaryota; Viridiplantae; Streptophyta; Magnoliopsida; Zingiberales; Zingiberaceae. The record is from RNAcentral.